Molecule: long non-coding RNA, 464 nt
Organism: Rhodamnia argentea
Lineage: Eukaryota; Viridiplantae; Streptophyta; Magnoliopsida; Myrtales; Myrtaceae
Exons: 3
Source: RefSeq, a predicted model, not a curated record
GAACUUCAAAUGUCAUAUAGAGAGUUUGAUCAGGAUCUCACGGAUUCCACAAGGAAGUUUACAAAGAUGUAUAAAGGUAAGAGCUGGGUCAAAGGAUUGUCUCCUAAAUUUCUUGCUUCGGCUGCAGAAAAAGCGGUGUCACAGGGCCAUCCGGUUGCAACGGCGAAAAAAGGACCCUGGGUGAUGACCUUGGAUGCACCAAGCUAAUCGGACGUAAUGGGUAAUGCCCAAAGAAGAGAAUUACGCAAGAACAUGUUUGUUGAGAAUGUUAAGCGGGCCUUUAGCGGAGAUACCGACAACACUGCAGUCAUUGAUAGAAUCUUCAAGCUUAGAUCGCGAAAAGCAAAGCUUCUAGGUUACGACGAUUAUGUUGAGGUCAGCAUGGAAACGAAAAUGGCUACCUAUGGUACAGCGAUGGAGCUCCUGGAAAAACUUAUGAGGGCUUCGCGGGGUGCUGCAGAUCA